CCAUGCAUGUGUAAGUAUAGUAUCUACAGCGAAACUGCGAAUGGCUCAUUAAAACAGUUAUAGUUUAUUUGAUGGAUUCCUAUAUGGAUAACCGUAGUAAUUCUAGAGCUAAUACAUGCUUGAAAUGUCCGACUUAAAGAGGACAGUGUUUAUUAGAUAAAGCCAGCAUAAGGUGAUUCACAAUAACUACACAAAUCGCACUUUUGGUACGAUGCGUCAUUCAAGUAUCUGCCCUAUCAGCUUUGAUGGUAGUGUAUUGGACUACCAUGGCUUUAACGGGUAACGGAGAAUUAGGGUUCGGUUCCGGAGAAAGAGCCUGAGAAACGGCUAUUACAUCUAAGGACGGCAGCAGGGGCGUAAAUUACCCAAUCUUAAUUUAAGGAGGUAGUGACAAGAAAUAUCGACUUUGGAGAAAUCCAGAGAUUGGAAUGGGCUAAACACAAAACCCUUAGUGAGUAACAAUUGGAGGGCAAGUCUGGUGCCAGCAGCCGCGGUAAUUCCAGCUCCAAUAGCAUAUAUUAAAGUUGUUGCAGUUAAAAAGCUCGUAGUUGGAUAUCUGGCUCUACUGAGUCUAUGAA
RNAcentral lists this ribosomal RNA (578 nucleotides) under Brachonella contorta. RNAcentral's name for it is "SSU rRNA". It matches the Rfam family "Eukaryotic small subunit ribosomal RNA", at positions 49 to 663 of the family's 1831-position model. The record is from RNAcentral. Lineage: Eukaryota; Ciliophora; Armophorea; Metopida; Metopidae.